Folsomia candida is the source of this 272-nucleotide long non-coding RNA. RefSeq lists it as uncharacterized. The record is from RefSeq and is a predicted model, not a curated record. Lineage: Eukaryota; Metazoa; Arthropoda; Collembola; Entomobryomorpha; Isotomidae. The transcript is spliced from 4 exons.
UUGAUGUGUUUAGACCAUGGUGGUAAUCGAAGAAUUAUCUACUGCUAUUAAAUUAUCUAAUUAUCUAAUUAUCUAUGCUUCUUGUUAGAUGAUGACGCCGCAGCAGUUGGUACGGUGGAGGUGGGCCCCAGAACUGAGAUGCAGCCGGGUAGUAGUGGUGGAAGAGGGGCAACAGGCGGCAGGAAUCAUCAAGUCCAAUAUUCGGGGCCGGUGUCUUCGGAGGAGGAGAACGACUUGGAGGCGUUGUUUGUUAAGGUGAAACGUGUCCGGAA